Non-coding RNA from Poecilia reticulata (guppy), 218 nucleotides. NCBI's taxonomy places the organism in Eukaryota, Metazoa, Chordata, Actinopteri, Cyprinodontiformes, Poeciliidae. The record is from RefSeq and is a predicted model, not a curated record.
ACACAUUUCUUCAGACAGGUUGGCAGAGUAAUUUGAAUGACUAUGAUGUGACACACAGACUGGAWGUCUUCCUCCUUCCUCCUUCAAGAGCGGCACCAAAAACACUUCACUAUCCGCUUCCAAUGAACUUUUAAAGCUUCACAUUCAGUGCAAAGUACCAUGAAUGUAUGACCUUUGUUGCAUAUUGCUGUCAGUGCUGUUUGAUGUUUUGAAAUAAA